RNAcentral lists this ribosomal RNA (445 nucleotides) under uncultured bacterium. RNAcentral's name for it is "partial 16S ribosomal RNA". It matches the Rfam family "Bacterial small subunit ribosomal RNA", at positions 338 to 795 of the family's 1533-position model. The record is from RNAcentral.
CCUACGGGUGGCAGCAGUCGAGAAUCAUUCACAAUGGGGGAAACCCUGAUGGUGCGACGCCGCGUGGGGGAAUGAAGGUCUUCGGAUUGUAAACCCCUGUCAUGUGGGAGCAAAUUAAAAAGAUAGUACCACAAGAGGAAGAGACGGCUAACUCUGUGCCAGCAGCCGCGGUAAUACAGAGGUCUCAAGCGUUGUUCGGAAUCACUGGGCGUCAAGCGUGCGUAGGCUGUUUCGUAAGUCGAUUGUGAAAGGCGCGGGCUCAACCCGCGGACGGCACAUGAUACUGCGAGACUAGAGUAAUGGAGGGGGAACCGGAAUUCUCGGUGUAGCAGUGAAAUGCGUAGAUAUCGAGAGGAACACUCGUGGCGAAGGCGGGUUCCUGGACAUUAACUGACGCUGAGGCACGAAGGCCAGGGAGCGAAAGGGAUUAGAUACCCUUGUAGUC